CGCUGGCGGCGUGCUUAACACAUGCAAGUCGAACGGUAAGGCCCUUCGGGGUACACGAGUGGCGAACGGGUGAGUAACACGUGGGUGAUCUGCCCUGCACUUCGGGAUAAGCCUGGGAAACUGGGUCUAAUACCGGAUAGGACCAUGGACUUCACGGUUUGUGGUGGAAAGCUUUUGCGGUGUGGGAUGGGCCCGCGGCCUAUCAGCUUGUUGGUGGGGUAAUGGCCUACCAAGGCGACGACGGGUAGCCGGCCUGAGAGGGUGUCCGGCCACACUGGGACUGAGAUACGGCCCAGACUCCUACGGGAGGCAGCAGUGGGGAAUAUUGCACAAUGGGCGCAAGCCUGAUGCAGCGACGCCGCGUGAGGGAUGACGGCCUUCGGGUUGUAAACCUCUUUCAAUAGGGACGAAGCGCGAGUGACGGUACCUAUAGAAGAAGCACCGGCCAACUACGUG
Molecule: ribosomal RNA, 456 nt
Filed under: uncultured bacterium
Lineage: Bacteria
Description: bacterial SSU rRNA
Rfam family: Bacterial small subunit ribosomal RNA
Source: RNAcentral